GCGUGAGGGACGACGGCCUUCGGGUUGUAAACCUCUUUUAGCAGGAAAGAAGCGAAAGUGACGGUACCUGCAGAAAAAGCGCCGGCUAACUACGUGCCAGCAGCCGCGGUAAUACGUAGGGCGCAAGCGUUAUCCGGAAUUAUUGGGCGUAAAGAGCUCGUAGGCGGUCUGUCGCGUCUGCUGUGAAAACCCGAGGCUCAACCUCGGGCCUGCAGUGGGUACGGGCAGACUAGAGUGCGGUAGGGGAGAUUGGAAUUCCUGGUGUAGCGGUGGAAUGCGCAGAUAUCAGGAGGAACACCGAUGGCGAAGGCAGAUCUCUGGGCCGUAACUGACGCUGAGGAGCGAAAGGGUGGGGAGCAAACAGGCUUAGAUACCCUGGUAGUCCACCCCGUAAACGUUGGGAACUAGUUGUGGGGUCCAUUCCACGGAUUCCGUGACGCAGCUAACGCAUUAAGUUCCCCGCCUGGGGAGUACGGCCGCAAGGCUAAAACUCAAAGGAAUUGACGGGGACCCGCACAAGCGGCGGAGCAUGCGGAUUAAUUCGAUGCAACGCGAAGAACCUUACCAAGGCUUGACAUAUACGAGAACGGGCCAGAAAUGGUCAACUCUUUGGACACUCGUAAACAGGUGGUGCAUGGUUGUCGUCAGCUCGUGUCGUGAGAUGUUGGGUUAAGUCCCGCAACGAGCGCAACCCUCGUUCUAUGUUGCCAGCACGUAAUGGUGGGAACUCAUGGGAUACUGCCGGGGUCAACUCGGAGGAAGGUGGGGAUGACGUCAAAUCAUCAUGCCC
Molecule: ribosomal RNA, 790 nt
Filed under: Microbacterium sp. M87
Lineage: Bacteria; Bacillati; Actinomycetota; Actinomycetes; Micrococcales; Microbacteriaceae
Description: bacterial SSU rRNA
Rfam family: Bacterial small subunit ribosomal RNA
Source: RNAcentral